RNAcentral lists this ribosomal RNA (460 nucleotides) under uncultured bacterium. Its description in RNAcentral is "partial 16S ribosomal RNA". It matches the Rfam family "Bacterial small subunit ribosomal RNA", at positions 338 to 795 of the family's 1533-position model. The record is from RNAcentral.
CCUACGGGAGGCAGCAGUGAGGAAUAUUGGUCAAUGGACGAGAGUCUGAACCAGCCAAGUAGCGUGAAGGAUGACUGCCCUAUGGGUUGUAAACUUCUUUUAUAUGGGAAUAAAAUGUUCCACGUGUGGGAUUUUGUAUGUACCAUAUGAAUAAGGAUCGGCUAACUCCGUGCCAGCAGCCGCGGUAAUACGGAGGAUCCGAGCGUUAUCCGGAUUUAUUGGGUUUAAAGGGUGCGUAGGUGGGUUUUUAAGUCAGUGGUGAAAGUUUGCGGCUCAACCGUAAACUGGCAGUUGAAACUGGGAGUCUUGAGUGCGCUAGAGGUAGGCGGAAUGCGUGGUGUAGCGGUGAAAUGCUUAGAUAUCACGAAGAACCCCGAUUGCGAAGGCAGCUUACUAGUCUGCAACUGACGCUGAGGCACGAAAGUGUGGGUAUCGAACAGGAUUAGAUACCCUAGUAGUC